Molecule: ribosomal RNA, 607 nt
Filed under: Acrosiphonia arcta
Lineage: Eukaryota; Viridiplantae; Chlorophyta; Ulvophyceae; Ulotrichales; Ulotrichaceae
Also listed under: 2 other names
Description: eukaryotic LSU rRNA
Rfam family: Eukaryotic large subunit ribosomal RNA
Source: RNAcentral
AUGAAAAGAACUUUGAAAAGAGAGUUAAAAAGUGCUUGAAAUUGUAGAGGGGGAAGUCAUUAACGGCUGUGGGUGCACCCGGGCUCAAAGUACCUUAACGGGUGCCUGAAAGUGCCGGGAGCUGGUCAGCAUGGGUUCAGCCUGAGAGAUAAACCUUUCUGUGUCGAAAGUCUAUGUCUCGGGGUGGAUCGAGGAAAGAAUGUUGCUUUGCCUUCGAGCUGCAACAUCAAGAUGCUGGCGGAAGGCUGUUAAUGAGCCCGUCUUGAAACACGGACCAAGGAGUCUAACAUGUACGCGAGUUGGUGGGUGGAAAACCCAUAAGCGCAAGUAACCUGACUGGUGGGAUGGCCUGUGCCUGCACCAUCGACCGACCAUGAUUUUCUAUGAAAGGUUCGAGUACGAGCGUACCUGUUGGGACCCGAAAGAUGGUGAACUAUGCCUGAGCAGGGCGAAGCCAGAGGAAACUCUGGUGGAGGCUCGUAGAUGUGCUGACGUGCAAAUCGCUUUUCGGACUUGGGUAUAGGGGCGAAAGACUAAUCGAACUAUCUAGUAGCUGGUUCCCUCCGAAGUUUCCCCCAGGAUAGCUGGAGCUUAAUCAGUUUUAUCA